CCCUUAGAUGUUCUGGGCUGCACGCGUGCUACAAUGGCGUUUCCAGCAAGUCUGCGAACCCGAGAGGGCCAGCGGAUCUUCGAAUUGGCGUCGUGAUCGGGACAGUCGAUUGCAAUUAUUUGACUCAAACGAGGAAUUCCUUGUAAUCGCGAUUCAUCAUAUCGCGCUGAAUACGUCCCUGCCCUUUGUACACACCGCCCGUCGCUCCUACCGAUUGGGUGUGCUGGUGAAAUGUUCGGAUCGGCCGUUUGUCGCGGUUUCCGCGUCAUGUGGCUGAGAAGUUCAUUAAACCCUCCCACCUAGAGGAAGGAGAAGUCGUAACA
Molecule: ribosomal RNA, 323 nt
Filed under: uncultured eukaryote
Lineage: Eukaryota
Description: partial 18S ribosomal RNA
Rfam family: Eukaryotic small subunit ribosomal RNA
Source: RNAcentral